UUUCCAGCCGCCGCGGUAAUACAGAGGGGGCCAGCGUUAUUCGGAAUUAUUGGGCGUAAAGGGCGCGUAGGCGGCCACGCGUGUCUUCCGUGAAAUCCCUCGGCUCAACCGAGGACGUGCGGAAGAAACUGCGAGGCUCGAGUCCAGAAGAGGGGGGCGGAAUUCCCAGUGUAGCGGUGAAAUGCGUAGAUAUUGGGAGGAACACCGGUGGCGAAGGCGGCCCCCUGGGCUGGUACUGACGCUGAUGCGCGAAAGCGUGGGUAGCAAACGGGAUUAGAUACCCUUGUAGUCC
Molecule: ribosomal RNA, 292 nt
Filed under: uncultured bacterium
Lineage: Bacteria
Description: partial 16S ribosomal RNA
Rfam family: Bacterial small subunit ribosomal RNA
Source: RNAcentral